UUUGAUCCUGGCUCAGAUUGAACGCUGGCGGCAGGCCUAACACAUGCAAGUCGAGCGGCAGCACAGAGGAACUUGUUCCUUGGGUGGCGAGCGGCGGACGGGUGAGUAAUGCCUGGGAAAUUGCCCUGAUGUGGGGGAUAACCAUUGGAAACGAUGGCUAAUACCGCAUGAUGCCUACGGGCCAAAGAGGGGGACCUUCGGGCCUCUCGCGUCAGGAUAUGCCCAGGUGGGAUUAGCUAGUUGGUGAGGUAAUGGCUCACCAAGGCGACGAUCCCUAGCUGGUCUGAGAGGAUGAUCAGCCACACUGGAACUGAGACACGGUCCAGACUCCUACGGGAGGCAGCAGUGGGGAAUAUUGCACAAUGGGCGCAAGCCUGAUGCAGCCAUGCCGCGUGUAUGAAGAAGGCCUUCGGGUUGUAAAGUACUUUCAGUCGUGAGGAAGGUUGUAGUGUGAAUAGCACUAUGAUUUGACGUUAGCGACAGAAGAAGCACCGGCUAACUCCGU
Molecule: ribosomal RNA, 505 nt
Filed under: Vibrio sp. AER No.175
Lineage: Bacteria; Pseudomonadati; Pseudomonadota; Gammaproteobacteria; Vibrionales; Vibrionaceae
Description: bacterial SSU rRNA
Rfam family: Bacterial small subunit ribosomal RNA
Source: RNAcentral